This 325-nucleotide unclassified non-coding RNA is filed under the name uncultured fungus. Its description in RNAcentral is "sequence contains ITS1". Lineage: Eukaryota; Fungi. The record is from RNAcentral.
GUAUUUAAUUUAUUUUUGGUCUUCCAAAAAUUUGAUGUUUUUUUCAGGGCUUGCUUCAAGAAAAAGCAAGAAAAGUUUGUCAACAUGAAAGAGGAAGAAAAAACUCUGGCAGCGCCGGAAGGAAAGGGAGGUGAGAAAAGAAGUUUCUCCUCUCUCCCCCCUUUUUCCCUCCACAGAGAAAAACGGUAAAGAAUCUCCCCCCGCAAACUGCCAAAGCAAACAUGUCAAUGAUGUGCACACGAAGGUGGAUAUGGAUUUGAACCAUCCAUAUACAAAGGAAAAUGGACAAUUAUUAAUGAUCCUUCCGCAGGUUCACCUACGGAAA